RNAcentral lists this ribosomal RNA (422 nucleotides) under uncultured bacterium. RNAcentral's name for it is "partial 16S ribosomal RNA". It matches the Rfam family "Bacterial small subunit ribosomal RNA", at positions 360 to 774 of the family's 1533-position model. The record is from RNAcentral.
AAUACGGGACCAUGGGGGCAACCCUGAUUCAGCCAUACCGCGUGUGUGAAACAGGNCCNNGGAGCNUNGAGAUCGGUAAGUCGNNNNNCCGGGCUUCCGGAUACUACUGUGAAGUUUGGACGUCACCAAGAGCAUAAGCACCGCAUAACUCUGUGCCAGUAGCCGCGGUAAUACAGAGGGUGCACGCGUUAAUCGGAGUUACUGGUCGUAAAGCGCGCUUAGGUGGUUCAGUAAGAUGGGUGUGUACUCCCCGGGCUUAACCUGGGACAUGCUUUCCUGACUGCUGAGCUAGAGUACGGUAGAGAGUAAUGGAAUUUCCUGUGUAGCGGUGAAAUGCGUAGAUAUAGGAAGGAACACCAGUGGCGAAGGCGACUACCUGGACUGAUACUGACACUGAGGUGCGAAAGCGUGGGGAGCAAACA